Molecule: long non-coding RNA, 235 nt
Filed under: Eutrema salsugineum
Lineage: Eukaryota; Viridiplantae; Streptophyta; Magnoliopsida; Brassicales; Brassicaceae
Description: long non-coding RNA (ESAL_LNC000891)
Source: RNAcentral
AUGAUUUGUGUGUUUGAGCUGAAAUGUCCAGAUAACUUGUCUCUAAUCGGUUGUUCUGGCUUGUUCUUACUUUCCUUGAUGUUUGAAAAAGCUAUGAAUAUCAGUUCUGCUAGAGAAAAAGUUUUGUACUUGCCAAUCUUGAGAUACAUGUGCUUAACGAUAUAUAAUCUUGAGAUGACCGGAGACCGAACCGUUCCUACCCACGAGGCAAACAGAAGUGCGGGCCAGAAGAGAG